CCUACGGGUGGCAGCAGUGAGGAAUAUUGGUCAAUGGCCGGUAGGCUGAACCAACCAAGUAGCGUGAGGGACGACUGCUCUAUGGGUUGUAAACCUCUUUUAUAAGGGAAGAAUAAAUGCUACGUGUAGCAUGAUGCAUGUAUCUUAUGAAUAAGCAUCGGCUAACUCCGUGCCAGCAGCCGCGGUAAUACGGAGGAUGGGAGCGUUAUCCGGAUUUAUUGGGUUUAAAGGGUGCGUAGGUGGAUUGUUAAGUUAGUUGUUAAAGCUUCGGGCUUACCCGUAAAAUUGCAUUUAAUACUGUCAGACUCGAGUACAGUCGAGGUAGGCGGAAUUAGUUGAGUAGCGGUGAAAUGCUUAGAUAUAACGUAGAACUCCGAUAGCGAAGGCAGCUUACCGGACUGCAACUGACGCUGAUGCACGAGAGUGUGGGUAGCAAACAGGAUUAGAUACCCUGGUAGUC
This 460-nucleotide ribosomal RNA is filed under the name uncultured bacterium. RNAcentral describes it as "partial 16S ribosomal RNA". It matches the Rfam family "Bacterial small subunit ribosomal RNA", at positions 338 to 795 of the family's 1533-position model. The record is from RNAcentral.